AUGGCGCACCAGCCAGAAAUACUAAUGGCGCACUCACACGUGGUGCGCCAUCUACAACGACCGCUUCAUCCCCAGCCGCACCGGAUCCAACCUCGCGCUCUUCGACCUCGCCCCGGCCCCCUCCUCCUCUGCCUCCGGAUCUGCUGCUCCCCCUCACCCUACUGCGCGCUCCUCCGCGCGGCGCUCUUCGGGCCCGACACGCCCGACCGCCUCGCCUCCUCCGCCGGGGCCUCCUCCUCCGCGGCCUCCCUCGUCGGCUCCCCCGCCAGCGGCAACAUAUUCCGCUUCAAGGCCGAGGUGCCGAGGAACGCCAAGCGGGUGCUCUUCGCCGGCGGGGACGACCAGGACCUGCUCUUCCCCGGCAUCUUCACCCCCAAGGGCUCCGGCCCCAGGAAGAUCCCCAGGUCGCCCUACAAGGUGCUGGAUGCGCCCGCAUUGUAG
This 441-nucleotide ribosomal RNA is filed under the name Triticum aestivum (bread wheat). Its description in RNAcentral is "partial small subunit ribosomal RNA". Lineage: Eukaryota; Viridiplantae; Streptophyta; Magnoliopsida; Poales; Poaceae. The record is from RNAcentral.